GGUAUUAGCUCGAACCCGCCCAUAGUGAGUACAAAGUGCGAUGAAGGAAAGUGAAAGGAAGCAGGAAUGCGUAGCCGUGGCGGCCUCGCCGCAACCACGACCGCGUUCGAGUCUCUUCGGAGAGGCGCGCCCGCAGCGACGCCAGCUGUAUCGCUAGUUGGUCGAGUCGCAGCUGUGACAUCAGGACGUAGUCGUCCCAUCUCUCCUUCCAGAGGUAGAAGGCGUCACUGCGGUCGGUGGAGAUGUCCAGUCGGUCAGGCCGGAUCGGCUGCAGGCUCGUCAUACCACAGCGAUUACGAAGGACUGUUCUAGAAGCCCUCCACGCCAGCCACCUGGGGAAGGAGAAGACGAAGGCCCGCGCAAGACAGAUCGUCUACUGGCCCGGGAUCUACCGGGAUGUGGAAAAUGUCACCCGCUGCUGUACCAGCUGCCAGAGAGAUCUACCCGCUCAGCAGCAAGAGACCAUGAUGAGGAGACCGCCAGCGGAAAGGCCGUUCCAACUACACAUCGACUUUGCCGAUCACGCCGGCAGGAAGUACCUCGUGGCAGUGGACAGAUACUCCGGGUGGCUGUUUGUCGCCGACCUCGGUGUAAGCGCCCCCGCUUACACCGGUCCGAAGGACGAUAGCAGGCGUCAUGACGAGCGCACUCGCUACGCGACUAAGCGUAAAUGGACGGCACGGGAAAAGGGCUUUCGGCGGUACCUGGCUUUUUGAUGUCGUGUUCAGAGCCGUGCGGCGGAACGGGCUUACCCAGGACACCAACAACGGCCAGCUGGAGGUGGCGCCACGAAAGUGGUUUACGGGUGCCAGAAACCGCGACGGAGGCCGCCAGGAGAGGAGACCAGCUGGAGUUUAAGCGGAGGAGCAGAUGAGAGAAGAAGUCUAGAGAUGAACAGAAGAGAGGAGAGAGUUUAAACAGCAUUUUUGUGUUUAUCGAUAAUAUAAUUAUUGAUCACUGA
RNAcentral lists this long non-coding RNA (961 nucleotides) under Amphibalanus amphitrite. Its description in RNAcentral is "uncharacterized LOC122385744". The record is from RNAcentral. Lineage: Eukaryota; Metazoa; Arthropoda; Thecostraca; Balanomorpha; Balanidae.